GGGGAUUUAGCUUAAUGGUAGAGCGCUUGCCUAGCAAGCACAAGGCCCUGGGUUCAGUCCCCA
Molecule: transfer RNA, 63 nt
Filed under: Rattus norvegicus (Norway rat)
Lineage: Eukaryota; Metazoa; Chordata; Mammalia; Rodentia; Muridae
Rfam family: tRNA
About the family: Transfer RNA (tRNA) molecules are approximately 80 nucleotides in length. Their secondary structure includes four short double-helical elements and three loops (D, anti-codon, and T loops). Further hydrogen bonds mediate the characteristic L-shaped molecular structure. tRNAs have two regions of fundamental functional importance: the anti-codon, which is responsible for specific mRNA codon recognition, and the 3' end, to which the tRNAs corresponding amino acid is attached (by aminoacyl-tRNA synthetases). tRNAs cope with the degeneracy of the genetic code in two manners: having more than one tRNA (with a specific anti-codon) for a particular amino acid; and 'wobble' base-pairing, i.e. permitting non-standard base-pairing at the 3rd anti-codon position.
Source: Rfam by way of RNAcentral